UACGUAGGGGGCUAGCGUUGUCCGGAAUCAUUGGGCGUAAAGAGCGUGUAGGCGGUCCGGUAAGUCCGCUGUGAAAGUCGGGGGCUCAACCCUCGAAUGCCGGUGGAUACUGGCAGGCUUGAAUCCGGGAGAGGGAUGCGGAAUUCCAGGUGUAGCGGUGAAAUGCGUAGAUAUCUGGAGGAACACCGGUGGCGAAGGCGCAUCCUGGACCGGCAUUGACGCUGAGGCGCGAAAGCCAGGGGAGCAAAGCGGG
Molecule: ribosomal RNA, 253 nt
Filed under: uncultured bacterium
Lineage: Bacteria
Description: partial 16S ribosomal RNA
Rfam family: Bacterial small subunit ribosomal RNA
Source: RNAcentral